GGUUGCGAUCAUACUAGCACUAAUGUACUGAAGCUCUUCUGAACUCUGCAGUUAAGCGUGCUUUGGCGAGAGUGGUACUAGGAUAGGUGACCCCCUGAGAAGUCCUCGUGUUGCAACCCU
This 120-nucleotide ribosomal RNA is filed under the name Helianthus annuus (common sunflower). Lineage: Eukaryota; Viridiplantae; Streptophyta; Magnoliopsida; Asterales; Asteraceae. The record is from RNAcentral.